Long non-coding RNA from Carassius auratus (goldfish), 3945 nucleotides. The record is from Ensembl. NCBI's taxonomy places the organism in Eukaryota, Metazoa, Chordata, Actinopteri, Cypriniformes, Cyprinidae.
AUGCGCUUUGAAAUCCAGACCACACCAGGACCGUUGGUUUGGAAAGGACACAUGAGGGUACUGCCUGUCUUGUUUUCAGAGCUCGUUAAAAGUGACAUUUGCUGUACAUUUGGAAUUCCAAAGCCUGUUCAGACAAAUUACGAGCUAAGUCAGUCCCCAACAAAGGCAGUUAGCCUUGUAGAAGUCGGUGAAUUAACUGAUGAAUACCCCUUGGCUGACUAUUUGAUUGGACAUGUGCAGAUGGUAACGUUAAAGAGAUUUUUCUGCUGCAAAGGAUGACAUUGAUGCAGCUUGUGAACUUGCCAUCAGAGGACUGUGUAUCUAUCUUAAUGAGGACUCUAAAGAUCUCAUUCAGGAGUAUGCGGUGAGUAGUUAGAGCUUAACUGAUGGAAUCUGUACUAUGUUCAACAAGCAAAAUAUUAAUACAUCUAAAAAACAUGGUUUCAUCAAAUAUGCACACUGCAACAUAAAUGUAAAAAAUUAUAAUUUUAUCCACUAGACAUGUAGCAUUAAUUGUAAUACAUAUUCAUCUUUUUUUCUGUCUUUAGGACAUGGAAGAAGAUCUUUUACAGUGUGCGAUUGAGAAGACUACCAUGGGCAUCUUCGUGAUAAAGCACACUGCAGACAAUGAAGCCCAUGAUGUAGGCAUUGUGCUAGAGGGUGUAGCAGUGCUUCAGGACAUCGACAGUGUGGAUUUUGCAACUUCAAUGUUUUUGGUCUAAUUUAUGCUCUUAACCUGCAGUACCCCACAAAGUUGCGUUUUACAUAUGAAAUUUAGCAAAAACUCAUCAUGGACUUGGAUGCGGGUGAAUUCUCGAUCAAGGCCCAAAAUUUCAAAUCUGAACUCCACCAGUGAGAUGGACUGAUUUUUGAAUGACUACUGAGACUACAAACAAUCAACCUCGGAAAAUUUCAGCAGCCUUCAUGCAAGACCACUGCAGAGGGUAAACCGUGAUCUUGUUGUUUAGACUGUUCCCCUUUGCCUGCUCUCGUUUCUUUAUCUUUUUUUUUCUGUCUGAAUUUGGCCCUUCGUUGGACUGGCUCAGAAGUUGAUUGAUUAGAGAGCUGAAUCUAUGAAACAUGGUUGAACUAGCAUAAAUAAGAUACUUUGUUUAUAGUUUAGGUAAGGGUCAGAUACUGUAUUUUCACAUUGUUUUGUAAUGUCUAUAUAUAAUUAUCUUUGAAACUAAAGCGUUUUUCUUGAAAUAACAUUUCCAGGUAGGGCUGCACGAUAUUGGGAAAAAAUGACAUUGCGAUAUUUUAUUUUUCUGCGAUAUAUAUUGCGAUAUGAAAUCUAAUCUAUUUUUUUCUUACAAACAAAAAUUGGGUGAGCACACUUACAUUCUCAUUUUAAAUGAUGUAAACAUCGACACCAUCGUGUCAAUUGAUUAAUAUGUGCGAGGGAGAGAGAGCAAGACAGCGCUCGUGUUGUUUGAAGCUGGUGAGCUUGCGGCCGGGGCUCACUCUCUCUCUCCCUCUCUCUUUCUCUCUUGCAUGCUCUCACUCGUGCUCUCUCUCUCUCUCUCUCUCUCUCUCUCUCUCUCUCUCUGCCCUGUUAAACUGACAGGACUUAAAAACACAUAUAAAAGAUAAACUUUCACUCUAUGAUGGUUAAGCUGUACAAUUAAUCCGCGAAUCACAUUCGUCAAGAGCUGGAGAGCAGCUGGCCCGUACAGUUAAUGAAUAACGAAUCAACUACGACAGCCUACAUCACACAUCCUGCGAUGUGACUAUCGUGCAGCCCUAGUUCCAGGUACUGGUGUUCUUGGGUACAGUUUUAAGGUUUCUGAGAGAAAUGAAAUAAAUUAGUGUUACAAUGUUGUAUUAGUUUUUAAACGCACAGUUACAUGCAGUAUAAUGUUACUUAUGUUUAUGAUAUUGUUUAAAAAAAAAAAGAAAUCUUGUAAAACUUAUGAAGGUUUAAAAAUAUUGUUGAUCUACAUGUUAUGCAUACAAAAUGAACUGUGUUUGUUUUUAUACUAGUCUAAUUAAAACUGAUAUGUAUUUUUAUUAAAUUUAAUAAUCAGAGAAGUUAUUUAUGCUAUGCUUUUGAAAGCACAAUGUUAUUUAGACAUGCCAUUUAAAUUACACAUUGUUCAAAUUGUUAAAUAAAGGAUUUACAAAAGUUUUGUGUUACGUGAAAUGAAACAUGCGACAACAAACCAUUGAAAUGUAUUAAAAUUUAAUUUUAGUGAAGUUAUUAAAAUUAUGUUAAGAUAACUUGAUUUAAUUGCACAGAAUUAACAUGAUUGAAGCAGAAAUCUGAAAUAAAAAAAUAAUGUUAAACUAGCAUAACUGAAUCAUGUUAGUAUAACUUGAAAAGACUAUGUACACAUUACUUUUUGAAAUUGCAUAGGAUUAACACAACCGUAUUAUAAUGAAACCACAUAAAUGCAUAGGAUACUUUGAACUCAAACUGAAUGUGUGGAACCAAUGUCCAUAAUUCGAUUGAGUAAAUCCAACAAAUCUUUUUUUUCAGUGUAUGCGCUCAUGGCCAUGUGUUGGCUCGUGGUGGGGGGCCCAGUAAUCAAAGCCAGGCCUCAGGAAGGGCAAGGAUAGAUCUGAGUUUGCAGCUGCUGAUGCCAUCUGAUUUAAGCACUGGCCCAGUAUUCACUAGCCCAUGCAUAGUCUGUUGACUGGAAAACAUUAUUGGAAAAAUAUGCUCAUCAUCAAAAUUUACUGUAUAUAUAUAUAUAUAUAUAUAUAUAUAUAUAUAUAUAUAUAUAUAUAUAUAUAUAUAUAUAAUAUGCGUGUGUGUGCGCAUGUUUGGGUAUGAAUAAACAGAAUAUGAAAUGUAAAAAAAAACAAAAACAAGGAACUACAUUGUUAAAAAUUUCUAAUGAUUUGAUAAUUAAAGUUUUUUCAUGUUUCAGAUUCGAAUGGGGACAGUGAAUUACCUGGAAUGGACCGUUUCUUUGUGGACAUUCGCCUUGGAUUCUCUGAAAAAGAGGAGGAUGCAGUUUUUACAGGAACUUGAUCUAGUUAAUGGUAUUGAAAUGGAAUCUUCUGUCAAUGGAGGGAGAGCUGGGGGAAGCCAGAAAACGCAAGACAGAAACUUACCGUUUCAUCAGGUAAUCGGUUUACCUUUUUUAUUCAUGUUAACGGACUGAAUUAUGGGAACAAAACAAAUGUUAAGUGCAGAUAUAUAGUUAGGAAUUGCAAUGUCUUGAUAAUAAAUGUAUUUACAAUACUGUGCGUAUGUGUAUACAGUGUAUAUAUAUAUAUAUGUUGUAUACACACACACACACACACACACACACACAUAAAAAAAAGUCAUUUCAUAAUAAAAAAAAAAAAAAAACACCUACCAAACCCAAACUUUUGAACUGCAGUGUAUCUUGUAUACAAAAAAAAGAAAAGGAAAUGAAAAAGGAAUUGUUCAUUUGGCAUGGUCAUCAAAAUUUCCUACAUUUUUGGUAAUCUUGACUUGGCAAACCAUGACAAAUGUUCCUUUAAUGUUCUUUUGUGAAAGUUAAGGUGUGUCAAAUUCCGAGAUGAAUGCCUAACUACACCCAGUCUUGAUUUCCCAUGAGCAGUUUGUAAUAUGUCAUUAAAUUCAUGGUUCCACACAAACCCCUCUUCCAUUUUCAGAUGAGCUAAUCAAAUAAAGUCAUAAAAAGGAGGAACAGGGCUUCACAUUCCAAAGGCCUUUGAUCUUUUUGCAAUGAAUCCAUGAGAUUACAUGCCUGAUUAUAUCCAGGUGUUGAGUCAUAACUUCAGAGGUUCAGAGCAUACAAAGUAAUAUUCCUCUUUAAGGCCUGCUAAUUUUUUCAAAGGCAGGUUCUUUAACACUAUACAGCCCGUUCAAAGUCAUAAGAUGUGAAUUCCUUCACUGAACUAACUCAUAAAUCCAGAAUUACCUUCCACAUAUCAUUUGCAGAGGUUUUGACUCUCACAAUGUUCGCCUGUCUAUGUCCACUCUGAUGAAAUACAGUAUUUCUACCC